ACUUGCUACAGCUGUGCUCAAACAAUAUGGGCAUCCUUUGAAUAUUACAAAGACUGGAACUCUUAUAGUAGAGUCAUUCCAAUCGCAGCGUCCUGAUGAAACGCACAUAGUCUCUAUUAAUUUUAAGAGCGGGAUUUCUAAAUAUCAUGGAUAUGGUAAGCACGGGGGUCCAGAUGUUUCCCGUGAAGUCCUUGCUCCAUCUACUGUAGACACCUCGUUUCCACAGAGUCUAAUCAUGUACGAGGGAGGCAAAUUACUGUUGAAAUAUGCAAAGUGAGGAAUUGUCAGUCUACUGCUGUUUGAAGAGGUAAUGAAUCAGCCCGACCCCAGCACAGAUCUCCGGAAAUCAUGUACUAAGGCCAAGCAUGAGGUCAGUCGUGGUUGCCCUUAUGACACUCAUAUCCAGAAAUAGGGACUGGGAUGCCAGUUGAUCAGAGAAAAACCGAGAUCUUGUUACCUGAUGUCUUGAGUGUAGCUUAUGACUGGAGUCGUCGUGUUUCCAUUGCUGUUUAAAUGUAUUUCUAUUAGCUUACAAGAAGUAUGCAUAUCUGCCGCUGGGAAUGCUGCUUUCGGUAUAUACAACAAUACUAAACUGUCAUAAACAGAGGCCUUUCCCUGUGAUUUGUGACAGUUCCAGACUUGUAGUACUAAGUGACAGUCAUUGAUCAGUAGACGACGUUCUUUUA
Molecule: long non-coding RNA, 686 nt
Organism: Daucus carota subsp. sativus
Lineage: Eukaryota; Viridiplantae; Streptophyta; Magnoliopsida; Apiales; Apiaceae
Exons: 2
Source: RefSeq, a predicted model, not a curated record